Erythranthe guttata (spotted monkey flower) is the source of this 157-nucleotide non-coding RNA. Lineage: Eukaryota; Viridiplantae; Streptophyta; Magnoliopsida; Lamiales; Phrymaceae. The record is from Rfam.
AUCUUUGCGCUUGGGGCAAUGACGCAGCUAAUGAGGUACUAACCGAGGCGCGUCUAUUGCUGGUUGAAAACUAUUUCCAAACCCCCUCUUGGGCUUUGGUUUUGCACCUAAGCCCUUGAGAAUUUCUGGAAGGGCUCCCUUUUAUUAGGGUUAAGCC